AUACGGAGGGUGCAAGCGUUAUUCGGAAUCACUGGGCGUAAAGGACGCGUAGGCGGGUUGGCAAGUCAGAUGUGAAAUCCUACAGCUUAACUGUAGAACUGCAUUUGAAACUGCUAACCUAGAGUAUGGGAGGGGGAGAUGGAAUUAGUGGUGUAGGGGUAAAAUCCGUAGAUAUCACUAGGAAUACCGAAAGCGAAGGCGAUCUCCUGGAACAUAACUGACGCUGAGGUGCGAAAGCGUGGGGAGCAAACAGGAUUAGAAACCCUAGUAGUCC
RNAcentral lists this ribosomal RNA (274 nucleotides) under uncultured bacterium. Its description in RNAcentral is "partial 16S ribosomal RNA". It matches the Rfam family "Bacterial small subunit ribosomal RNA", at positions 523 to 796 of the family's 1533-position model. The record is from RNAcentral.